UUGCAAACAAGAUGGGUAUAUUUCCUAUGAGGAAAACAAGAUUUAUUGCUUCUUCCCUUUCUAAUCAGUACAUUUCUCCAAAUAGUUGGCAUCAUAAUUAAUCUAAAAGCUGUAUGGAAUAUCAAAUGUAAACUUUUACUGCAUAAAUUAAUUACAAAUGCCAUGCUUCCAUUUCUUUCCAUUCCUUUUUAUUUAUAAGGUUCUGCAAACCACUUUAAUGGCUUUUCAAUUAUUUUUUCAAUUAAUUGGGUUUGGUUUCUGUGCUCCGUUAUAGACGUCUGCAAAUGACUUUGUGGAUGAGUGAGGAGGAGUGGUACAGAAGGUUCUGCUUCCAUUCCUUUUCCUGAGAGCUGCUGCAAUGGAGUCAAGCACUCAGCAUAAAUUAAAAGCUCACACACGUGAAAUCUGUUAAGUAUUUUGUAACUAUUAUUCUAGCUGUUAUAAUAGGACUGAAUCAAUGCUGUAGAAACAAUAUACUUGCUAUUAGAAGAAACACAACCAAACCAAACCAUAUCAACAACAACGAAAACACAUCACCGAAAACCAAAACAGAGAGGAAAGUUUGAAGACAUCUGGGGCAAAAAUUCAGACGGGGUAAAAUGCCUUCAUUCACCCCAGCUCUCAAGUGGCUUCCCAGAAAAGAUCUGGAAAUGAAGCACAGACUCCUAGCGGUAUAGAAGGAAAAAGGUGAAGGCUCCCUGCAGACUGAAAUGCAGAGUCUCAGACUACAUUUGAGGUCAUAAAAGGUGUUACCGAAACCUUGGAUUUUUAACAACGCAAGGCUAAUGCAGACAUUUCCAAUUCAGGUGAGAACCAAGGUCCUUGUGAAUUCAUACCCAAACAGAUGUCUUCUCUACAUCACAGAAGUGAGGCAGUGAGCUGCGAGUAGGGCAGACUCAACAAAACACACCAGGAAGGGCUUGCCAAGCAUACUACCAGCAUGUCAGGUUGAAGAGCAAAGAGCUGAGACACUGGGAAACUUGCAUGGUUUACAUUUGAUUAGAAAGCUAACAGCAGAGCUCUGGAGCCUUGGGGAAUUGUUCUGGCACUGCGCCGACAGCUCUAGCAGUAAUCAAGCUAGUUCCAAGUUAGUGAAGAGCACUGAUGAAACAGAAGCCUGCUGACUUAAGGACUGGUGCCAACACUGCAGCUGCCAUGGAAAGGAAAAGGCCAGGCAAAACCAAACCUGGUGUUGCCUGAGGAGGAAGGGGGUCAACACUAUGGAUGGUGACUGCUGCGGAAAGGAGCCCCCAACCCCCAUUUCUGCUCAGGCACUUUCUCCCUCUCUAGGAUUUUUUGCCAUCAGAGAAGCACUCUACUGAGCAAUCAGUGGGCAGAAUGUUGCUGCUCUCUCCCUUUAAGUAACUUCUAGUUUCAGACCUGCAAGAUCUACUGAAAUUACUGUCUUCUGUUUCAGCAACUGCCUAAUGAGGUCUUUAGGGAAAACUGUGAAGAACGUGUAGUCAUUACCUUCCUG
Molecule: long non-coding RNA, 1477 nt
Organism: Pezoporus occidentalis (night parrot)
Lineage: Eukaryota; Metazoa; Chordata; Aves; Psittaciformes; Psittacidae
Exons: 6
Source: RefSeq, a predicted model, not a curated record